CCUAUUAUGCAUUCACACAAAUCAAAUUAGUGAAAACAUAAUCAAUUCAUAAUAAAAACAAAAUCAAUUCAUAUCUGCAUUCCACAAUUUUUUUUCUUUAACUAAUAAAUCAUUUCAAGCUUUUCAAAAGUGAUUUUCGCAUCAUAAUUCUUUUUUUUUCUAAAAUAUUUUAUUCAUCUAGCAUGUAACUUUCUUUAAAUUUAUACAAUUCAUAUGUCAAAAAAGAGUAGUGUUAGGUAGAUUGAGUUUGUAGACUAAAUUUGCAAUUAAAUAAUGUGUCCGCAAUAAGAAAUAAACACGUUAACUAAAUAAUAAUCUAAUCAUCAACUUACAUAUCAUUUAGUUUACAAAUUUAGUCAUCUUAACUAUUACCCCAAAAAAUAAUAAGAGUGCAUGAGAGAAAAAAUUACAAAUAAUUAUUUACAAAAUUUUGUUUCCCUAACAUUACCCAAGAAAAUGAGUGCAUGAGAGAAAAAAACAUUGCAAAUAACGCGUUAUCCAACAUUAUCCUUUUAUAAUUAUUCAAAUUUUAUAGUAAUAAACUGUUAAUUUUGUUUUCAUGUGGAGGGAAAAUAAAAGAAAUUCAUGAAAAACCACAUAAAAGAAAAACUCCUGACAUAUCGAAAUUCUUAUAUUUGUAUAAUGUUUUUAAGAAUAAUGUUGCACAUACCACCCAUUCGUUUGUAGCACCUUUCUACUAGAGGUAGGGACCACAAACUCCUUUCUACUAGAGGUAGGGACCACAAACUCAUGUGAGUGCCAUUUCUUUUAGAAAAAUAGUACAAAUAAAUGAUAAGAAUAACAUUUUUGUUUCUUAAAAAUAUUGAAGGCAUGCAUGUGGUAGGUCUCACCAACAUGCUGCCUGUGCUUUGGGUUGUGAACUUGUGAUAAGCUCUAGUACUAUGGCUGUUUCGCUUUAUGGAAAAUGAUAUAGCGGUUAUGGAUGCAUAUAAACCAACCUCUGGGAAAGAUGUGAGGAACCCACGAGAUGACGCCGGCGAGACCUCGGCGGUAUAGACAGGAGCGAUCAUGAGGGCGUACCCGAUGCCGAUCCCAGCUACAAACCGGCCGACCAUUAGAAAGGCAUAGUUUGUGGAGAAUCCCAUAAGAAGAGCUCCUGCAAAGAAAAUAGCCCCGGCAAGGACUAUGGUGUAUCGGCGACCAAUCCAGUCGGAUGUUCUUCCGGCAGCGGCGGAGCCGAAGAGGGAGUAGACGUUUAUAAUACCGAGUAGGAUCUCAAUUUCCACGUCGGAAAUUUUGAGGUCCUUUUGUAUGUAGAUUGCAGCUCCACUCAUCACACCAAUGUCUAUAGAUAUAUAAAACCAACAUCAACACAUGCAAAAAUAUAACUUUUGGAAUAUUAAUGACAACGAAUUGCUUCAAUAAAUUAAGAAUUUUUUCUCGCGACUCAAUUUUUAUAUUUAUCAUGUAUUUUUAUCAUUAAAGCAAAAGUGUAUACGACUACUUUGGAGGGUUAAUAAUAAUUAAAAACAAUCUAAGGAAGCAAAAUUUGAAGUACAUAUCCUUACCAUAACCCAGCAAGAUUGAAGUCAUGGAAGCCAAAAUGGCACAACCAAAGGCGUACUUAUUUCUUUUGGGUUUCUUU
Molecule: long non-coding RNA, 1606 nt
Filed under: Malus domestica (apple)
Lineage: Eukaryota; Viridiplantae; Streptophyta; Magnoliopsida; Rosales; Rosaceae
Description: long non-coding RNA (MDOM_LNC009174)
Source: RNAcentral